Molecule: ribosomal RNA, 314 nt
Filed under: Clostridioides difficile
Lineage: Bacteria; Bacillati; Bacillota; Clostridia; Peptostreptococcales; Peptostreptococcaceae
Description: bacterial SSU rRNA
Rfam family: Bacterial small subunit ribosomal RNA
Source: RNAcentral
AAGGGUGCGUGGGCGGACUGCAGAGCCAGGUGGGACUGGUAAGGUUGGAUCUGUGUGCAGGCGUUGGAACUGGGGGACUUGAGUGCAGGAGAGGAGGGUGGAAUUCCUAGUGUAGCGGUGAAAUGCGUAGAUAGUAGGAGGAACACCAGUUGCGAAGGCGGCUCUCUGGACUGUAACUGACGCUGAGGCACGAACGCGUGGGGAGCAAACAGGAUUAGAUACCCUGGUAGUCCACGCUGUAAACGAUGAGUACUAGGUGUCGGGGGUUACCCCCUUCGGUGCCGCAGCUAACGCAUUAAGUACUCCGCCUGGGA